This 497-nucleotide ribosomal RNA is filed under the name uncultured bacterium. RNAcentral describes it as "partial 16S ribosomal RNA". It matches the Rfam family "Bacterial small subunit ribosomal RNA", at positions 28 to 507 of the family's 1533-position model. The record is from RNAcentral.
GACGAACGCUGGCGGCGUGCCUAAUACAUGCAAGUUGAGCGCUGAAGGUUGGUACUUGUACCAACUGGAUGAGCAGCGAACGGGUGAGUAACGCGUGGGGAAUCUGCCUUUGAGCGGGGGACAACAUUUGGAAACGAAUGCUAAUACCGCAUAAAAACUUUAAACACAAGUUUUAAGUUUGAAAGAUGCAAUUGCAUCACUCAAAGAUGAUCCCGCGUUGUAUUAGCUAGUUGGUGAGGUAAAGGCUCACCAAGGCGAUGAUACAUAGCCGACCUGAGAGGGUGAUCGGCCAAAUUGGGACUGAGACACGGCCCAAACUACUACGGGAGGCAGCAGUAGGGAAUCUUCGGCAACGGACGAAAGUCUGACCGAGCAACGCCGCGUGAGUGAAGAAGGUUUUCGGAUCGUAAAACUCUGUUGGUAGAGAAGAACGUUGGUGAGAGUGGAAAGCUCAUCAAGUGACGGUAACUACACAGAAAGGGACGGCUAACUACGUG